CAGUCGCCGCGGUAAUACGAAGGGUGCAAGCGUUAAUCGGAAUUACUGGGCGUAAAGCGUGCGUAGGUGGUGGUUUAAGUCCGUUGUGAAAGCCCUGGGCUCAACCUGGGAAUUGCAGUGGAUACUGGGUCACUAGAGUGUGGUAGAGGAUAGUGGAAUUUCCGGUGUAGCAGUGAAAUGCGUAGAGAUCGGAAGGAACAUCUGUGGCGAAGGCGACUAUCUGGGCCAACACUGACACUGAGGCACGAAAGCGUGGGGAGCAAACAGGAUUAGAUACCCCUGUAGUCCCUGUCUCUUAUAA
This 301-nucleotide ribosomal RNA is filed under the name uncultured bacterium. Its description in RNAcentral is "partial 16S ribosomal RNA". It matches the Rfam family "Bacterial small subunit ribosomal RNA", at positions 509 to 809 of the family's 1533-position model. The record is from RNAcentral.